RNAcentral lists this ribosomal RNA (736 nucleotides) under uncultured bacterium. RNAcentral's name for it is "bacterial SSU rRNA". It matches the Rfam family "Bacterial small subunit ribosomal RNA", at positions 28 to 776 of the family's 1533-position model. The record is from RNAcentral.
GAUAAACGCUGACAGAAUGCUUAACACAUGCAAGUCGAUGAGGAAGUUUUAGCUUGCUAAAAUGAAAUCAUGGCGGACGGGUGAGUAACGCGUAAAGAACUUACCCUUUAGACUGGGAUAACACAAGGAAACUUGUGAUAAUACUAGAUAAGUUAGAUUUAGGCAUCUAAAUCAAAUGAAAUACUAUAUGUGCUAGAGGAGAGCUUUGCGUCCUAUUAGCUAGUUGGUAAGGUAAAGGCUUACCAAGGCGACGAUAGGUAGCCGGCCUGAGAGGGUGAACGGCCACAAGGGGACUGAGAUACGGCCCUUACUCCUACGGGAGGCAGCAGUGGGGAAUAUUGGACAAUGGAGGAAACUCUGAUCCAGCAAUUCUGUGUGCACGAAGACGGUUUUCGGAUUGUAAAGUGCUUUUAGUUGGGAAGAAAAAAAUGACGGUACCAACAGAAGAAGCGACGGCUAAAUACGUGCCAGCAGCCGCGGUAAUACGUAUGUCGCGAGCGUUAUCCGGAAUUAUUGGGCUUAAAGGGCAUCUAGGCGGCAAAGCAAGUUGAAGGUGAAAAGCUGUGGCUCAACCAUAGUCUUGCCUACAAAACUGCUUAGCUAGAGUACUGGAAAGGUGGGUGGAACUACACGAGUAGAGGUGAAAUUCGUAGAUAUGUGUAGGAAUGCCGACGAUGAAGAUAACUCACUGGACAGCAACUGACGCUGAAGUGCGAAAGCUAGGGGAGCAAACAGG